Molecule: ribosomal RNA, 406 nt
Filed under: uncultured bacterium
Lineage: Bacteria
Description: bacterial SSU rRNA
Rfam family: Bacterial small subunit ribosomal RNA
Source: RNAcentral
GUGGGGGAUAUUGCACAAUGGGGGGAACCCUGAUGCAGCGACGCCGCGUGAGUGAAGGAGUACUUCGGUAUGUAAAGCUCUAUCAGCAGGGAAGAAGCAAGACGGUACCUGACCAAGAAGCCCCGGCUAACUACGUGCCAGCAGCCGCGGUAAUACGUAGGGGGCGAGCGUUAUCCGGAUUCACUGGGUGUAAAGGGAGCGUAGACGGCAUGGCAAGUCUGGAGUGAAAGCCCGGGGCCCAACCCCGGGACUGCUCUGGAAACUGGUAUGCUAGAGUGCUGGAGAGGUAAGUGGAAUUCCUAGUGUAGCGGUGAAAUGCGUAGAUAUUAGGAGGAACACCAGUGGCGAAGGCGGCUUACUGGACAGUGACUGACGUUGAGGCUCGAAAGCGUGGGGAGCAAACAGG